UGGGGAAUAUUGGACAAUGGGCGAAAGCCUGAUCCAGCCAUGCCGCGUGUGUGAAGAAGGUCUUCGGAUUGUAAAGCACUUUAAGUUGGGAGGAAGGGCAGUAAAUUAAUACUUUGCUGUUUUGACGUUACCGACAGAAUAAGCACCGGCUAACUCUGUGCCAGCAGCCGCGGUAAUACAGAGGGUGCAAGCGUUAAUCGGAAUUACUGGGCGUAAAGCGCGCGUAGGUGGUUCGUUAAGUUGGAUGUGAAAUCCCCGGGCUCAACCUGGGAACUGCAUUCAAAACUGACGAGCUAGAGUAUGGUAGAGGGUGGUGGAAUUUCCUGUGUAGCGGUGAAAUGCGUAGAUAUAGGAAGGAACACCAGUGGCGAAGGCGACCACCUGGACUGAUACUGACACUGAGGUGCGAAAAGCG
This 415-nucleotide ribosomal RNA is filed under the name uncultured bacterium. RNAcentral's name for it is "bacterial SSU rRNA". It matches the Rfam family "Bacterial small subunit ribosomal RNA", at positions 355 to 762 of the family's 1533-position model. The record is from RNAcentral.